RNAcentral lists this ribosomal RNA (176 nucleotides) under Hyalomma dromedarii. RNAcentral's name for it is "partial large subunit ribosomal RNA". Lineage: Eukaryota; Metazoa; Arthropoda; Arachnida; Ixodida; Ixodidae. The record is from RNAcentral.
GCUAAAAGAAUGGAAGUUUAAGAAAAAACUUUUUUAAAAAUAAAAAUUAAAUUUUUUUUAAUUUGUGCAAAACCAAUUAUUUAUAUUAAAGACAAGAAGACCCUAUGAAUUUAUGAUUAAAUAAACUAAAAAUUUUUAGUUUAUUUAAUCUUGAUUGGGGCAAUCAAAAAAUAUUA